Long non-coding RNA from Fukomys damarensis (Damara mole-rat), 744 nucleotides. RefSeq lists it as uncharacterized. Lineage: Eukaryota; Metazoa; Chordata; Mammalia; Rodentia; Bathyergidae. The record is from RefSeq and is a predicted model, not a curated record. The transcript is spliced from 5 exons.
UUGCAUCACAGUAGUCUGAACCGGCACAAUCUUCAAGUUCCACAGGCACAAGCACAACGGAAGCCUGAGGAGGAGCGAAUGACAAGUGAGGAACAUGGCGGAGUCCACCGCUGGAGAUAGUCACGUCACCACAUAGAGCCUGAAGGACAAAGAGAAUGAGUGGGAGUUGGUUUCACCCUCUCUCUGUCUGACUGUAAAUACUCUGCCAGCAAGAACUGGACUCAUGUUCCUAGAGAUGCACCCCAGUCUCGUCAUGAUUCAGUAAACAGUAGGUGCCAUCUGCCAGCCUCAAGGACCAACAGAGCUCCCUAUCAGCCUGGAGAGCAGCUCGGAUUUAACAAGCUUGAAGGCCCAGAGCUAAGAGAAGGUUCUCUGGAGAAACAUGACCUUGAGAGAUUUCUCAAGCGGAUGCCAUGGGAAGCCAGAGGACCUGCAUGCAUUGAGGAUCUAAACAUUUCCUAGGAAUGGCAUUCAGAGACCUGUGAGCCUAUUGUGGUGGCUGAAGUACAGGCUGUUUUGAAAGCCAAACCCCAGCGCAGUGUCGUUACUCUAAUGAUGUAUUAAUGAAAACACCCUGUCUGCUCAGAGGGCCAUCGGGGGACCAGCUUCACGAACCCGACUGCAACAUUUAAUUUGUAACAUAUCUUUACCCUGAGCUAAAUUCCUACUCGCUCCAGGCCACCACAGCACUGAUGUUUCCUGGGGGACCUGCCUAUGCUCCCAGCUAGCCUGGGUUGGGCACCG